This 1182-nucleotide long non-coding RNA is filed under the name Fragaria vesca (wild strawberry). RNAcentral describes it as "long non-coding RNA (FVES_LNC000732)". Lineage: Eukaryota; Viridiplantae; Streptophyta; Magnoliopsida; Rosales; Rosaceae. The record is from RNAcentral.
CCAUCCAUUUUCUUCAGAGAAGCUUGUUGUGCCGACUUGUAAUGGAUUGAGGAAGUCUGGUUUGAAAUUCUCCUCAUCUUCCUCAUUCGUUGCCCGUCCUAAAAGCACUAGACUCCAGAAGUCUGGCUUUGUUUGCAAAGCUCGUGAAGCUGUGGAUCAAGGUAAAAUCAGCUGCACAAUCUCUGCUCUUUUUGGUGUUUUUGAUAAACUGCUAGUGUGCUAUCCCUAAUACAAUAGUGUGAACUACAAGUACUUCUGCUUGUUUAAUGUACUUACGAAUCAAGUAAGUUCAAGAACUGCAUAUAUCGGGUCAAAUUAAUAAGCAAAGUUGAAGAACUAAUAAUGGUCUGAAUGCUUGGUAAUCAUUUGUAGAAUGGAAUGUAUUAUGAUAUGUUUUCAUGUCAGGCAGGUUAAGUUUGUUUUUUCAAGUAAUCAAGUGAAUUCUGCAAAACUGUAUUUCUCUUUUUUCCUCUCUUUAUACUAAAUGGCAAUUGCUAGCUUUACAUAAACUCCACCAAUUGGUGAGGGUUUGUAGCUCCAGUGAUAAAGAGUUUGUAAGCAAGGUUAGACUUCUAACAUUUCCCACUUCCUUGUAUGAAAAACAAAUCCUUAUUUUGCGCAAGUGAAAUUUCUUGGUAAAUGUUAUUUUAGAAGGAAAAGAAGUGCAACAGAGUUGGCCUAAAGUAUAUAGAUAACGUAAUACAACUAUAACAUCCUUACUCUCUGAGCGGGGUGCCAAUUGGUUUUGUUUUUAUUUACAAUUAAACCGAAUGAGAAAAAAUAUUAUUUAAUUAAGGUUAUUAAUUUAUCGAUUUUGCCUUAAUUUCUUAUUUUAGGACCAGCAAAAAAUAUUAUUUAAUCGAGGUUAUUAAUUUAUUAAAUAUUCAAUUAUCGAGGUUUUACUUAGUUUCGGGUUGGAUGUUCUCGUACCUCUUUGUUUCCGAUUUUUCAAUUGCUGAAUUCUCGAUUUUUAAUUUUUUAUUUUAGGACCAGCAACAAAUAUUAUUUAAUCGAGGUUAUUAAUUUAUCGAAUACUCAAUUAUCGAGGUUUUACUAUAGUUAGUUUUGGGUUGGAUGUUCUCGUACCUUUCUCUGUUUUCGAUUUUUCAAUUGCUGGAUUCUCGAAAAUACUUCUUCAUGCACAUCAAAUUGGUCGAGUUAACUGAAUCAUGUGAAAUGUGC